GCCUGGCUGGCUCGGUUGGUGGAGCAUGUGACUCUUGAUCUCAGGGUCAUGAGUUCAAGAGCCCCAUGUUGGGUG
This 75-nucleotide transfer RNA is filed under the name Canis lupus familiaris (dog). It matches the Rfam family "tRNA". From Rfam's summary of the family: Transfer RNA (tRNA) molecules are approximately 80 nucleotides in length. Their secondary structure includes four short double-helical elements and three loops (D, anti-codon, and T loops). RNAcentral also lists the same sequence under 2 other names. The record is from Rfam by way of RNAcentral. Lineage: Eukaryota; Metazoa; Chordata; Mammalia; Carnivora; Canidae.